RNAcentral lists this ribosomal RNA (1244 nucleotides) under metagenome. RNAcentral describes it as "bacterial LSU rRNA". It matches the Rfam family "Bacterial large subunit ribosomal RNA", at positions 1564 to 2818 of the family's 2925-position model. The record is from RNAcentral.
UGAAUACGAGACGCUAAGGCGUCGAAGUAGUGUAUGUCAUACUUCCAAGAAAAGCUUGCACUGUCAUAGAUAAAAAACGCCUGUACCAUAACCGACACAGGUGGGUAGGUAGAGUAUACUAAGGGGCGCGAGAUAACUCUCUCUAAGGAACUCGGCAAAAUAACUCCGUAACUUCGGGAGAAGGAGUGCCUUAUUCGUAAGGUUGCAAUAACAAGAUCCAAGCAACUGUUUAUCAAAAACACAGGUCUCCGCUAAGUCGUAAGACGAUGUAUGGGGGCUGACGCCUGCCCAGUGCCAGAAGGUUAAAGAAGUUGGUUAGCAAUUGCGAAGCUGAUAACUGAAGCCCUGGUGAACGGCGGCCGUAACAAUAACGGUCCUAAGGUAGCGAAAUUCCUUGUCGGGUAAGUUCCGACCCGCACGAAAGGCGUAAUGAUUUGGAUACUGUCUCGGAGAGGGGCUCGGUGAAAUAGACUUGUCUGUGAAGAUGCGGACUACCUGCACCAGGACAGAAAGACCCUAUGAAGCUUUACUGUAACUUGAAAUUGAAAUUGGACUUUAUUCGCGCAGUAUAGGUGGGAGGCGUUGAUUAUAAUCUUGUGGGAUUAUUGGAGCCAUCAGUGAGAUACCACUCUUGUAAUGUUAGAUUUCUAACUUUGAAUCAUUAUCUGGUCAGAGAACAGUUUCAGGCGGGCAGUUUGACUGGGGCGGUCGCCUCCUAAACGGUAACGGAGGCGUACAAAGGUUUCCUCUGAACGGUUAGAAAUCGUAUCUAGAGUGUAAAGGCAUAAGGAAGCUUGACUGUGAGACCUACAAGUCGAGCAGGGACGAAAGUCGGUCUUAGUGAUCUGACGGUACUGAGUGGAAAGGCCGUCACUCAACGGAUAAAAGUUACUCUAGGAUAACAGGCUGAUCUCCCCCAAGAGUUCACAUCGACGGGGAGGUUUGGCACCCCGAUGUCGGCUCAUCGCAUCCUGGGGCGGUAGUACGUCCCAAGGGUUGGGCUGUUCGCCCAUGAAAGCGGUACGCGAGCUGGGUUCAGAACGUCGUGAGACAGUUCGGUCCAUAUCCGGUGUAGGCGUUAGAAUAUUGAGAGGAGCCUUCUUCAGUACGAGAGGACCGAGAAGGACAUACCUCUGGUGUACCAGUUAUCGUGCCAACGGUAAACGCUGGGUAGCUAUGUAUGGAGUGGAUAACCGCUGAAAGCAUCUAAGUGGGAAGCCCACCUCAAGAUAAGUAUUCUCAGC